GUAAGUGUUCAUAGCUGCUUCGGUAGCCGCUUGUAAGUUAACACAUAUGGGAGGAAUGGAGAGGGAGUAGGAUUUUCGGAAGGUUAUCGGGUGGGUGAGCGGGGAAGAUAACUUUGGUUUUUGAGAUAGUACUUGUUAUUUUCCCUACUCCACCCAUCCCAUAGGUUUCCGAUCAUUCCUCCCUCUCCUCAUCACUCUGCUUCUCAUGGCCUGUUUAUCUGGAUUCUGGAUCUAGUCUAUCUCAUCUGCUAGUGAAUAGUUCUACGUUUUCUUGAAGCCCUCAUCUACUAUCUGAACGUUGAGCAGACCCCGGGCAUGGAAGGUCCAAACUGACAAGCUGUGACUCGAAUAUAAGCAUUCGUUGACUGACACUGCACCCUGAACGCCGUCCUUUAUUACAGCAUCAAAAUAAAGGCAGCCAUAGUUUUAAAUUUUCAAACUUAAAUCAGAACAACCCAGUCAACGGAAAGCAAAGCAAAUAAGCAUAUGCUGGGGGGAUGAUUUCAACUACUCGGAUGAUGUUAUAAGAGAGGCCUGCAAACAUAGGUUUGCUUGACAUGUUUUAACUCGGAUUAAACUUCUCCAUGUGAAGAGAAGUGUUGAGCAGCUGUAUUAUUGGAACACAAACCAUUGGUUAACUGGUGAAACCGGUUGAAAUCUUCCACAAUAACCUGUCAUGAAUCUCUGGAGCAAACUUCAUAACUCUCUGGCCAUCUCCACAAGUUCUCAGAUUCUUCUUUAUACGAAUUGGUGCCCCAGCAGGAGGUGUGCUUGAAGCUAAAAUGCAAGGGCGAGUUUCUCAGUGAUCCCACAUGCUCUGCUCCUAGUUUCAGGCUUUCAGCUACAUACCAGUUUUUCUUCGCCAAGUCCUCCAACUUUCUCAGCGUAUCAUAAAUCUCAUCUGCCCUUAAACAUUUAUUUUAUUUCACUAAUUCUUUUUAAUGGUCUCCAGAUAAUGUUGACAUCUUCUUAUUAAAAUUGUUCAAAAAACAAUAGCUCGAUUUGAUUUGAUUUUUUUUCAACUAAAACCCAUUUAAAAAAAAUUGAACAUAUUAGGAAACGGAAGAGUCGUAGAGCAGCACAGAGCACAUGCCGAAAAUGCUGCCUGCUUUGAUAAAAGAAAUGGGCCCGCAGAGCUAUUGCUGCAGUGUCGGUGGGUGCUGGUGCUGGGAAAAUGCUCGAUGUGGUCCUUUGGAUUUGAAAAUCUUAUCGGUAAUAUCGCAGAGCACAUCCUAACGGAUCUUUAUGUUCAUUAAAGUCUGACUUUAAUUAUCUGCUUAAAACAUGGACCCUCAAAAAUGGUUCCAUCUCAUGCACCAAGACAGAAGAAUAAAGUGAGAUGAUUUACCCAUUGUUGUGGGCAGGAGGGGGUGUUAGACCACGACAUCUGUAAUAUUUGAAUUAUUUAAUCCAUCUUAGCCGGUUAAAAUUA
Long non-coding RNA from Populus trichocarpa (black cottonwood), 1432 nucleotides. RefSeq lists it as uncharacterized. The record is from RefSeq and is a predicted model, not a curated record. The transcript is spliced from 4 exons. NCBI's taxonomy places the organism in Eukaryota, Viridiplantae, Streptophyta, Magnoliopsida, Malpighiales, Salicaceae.